AGCUCCAAUAGCGUAUAUUAAAGUUGUUGCAGUUAAAAAGCUCGUAGUUGGAUUUCUGGUAUGUUGCGCCUGGCCCGUCUCAAUAGAGUUAUGUGUGCCGGUGCGCGAUUGCCAUCCAUCCAGAAACCGUCUCAAUCCUUCACUGGGUUGUUUCGCGAUCUGGAUCUUUUACUUUGAAAAAAUUAGAGUGUUUAAAGCAGGCUUGCGCUAUGAAUACAUUAGCAUGGAAUAAUAAUCUAGGACUUUCGUUCUAUUUUGUUGGUUUUCUGAAUGAAAGUAAUGAUUGGUAGGGAUAGUUGGGGGUGCUAGUAUUGAGUGGCCAGAGGUGAAAUUCUUGGAUUCACUCAAGACUAACUUAUGCGAAAGCAUUCACCAAGGAUGUCUUCUUUAAUCAAGAACG
Molecule: ribosomal RNA, 400 nt
Filed under: phytoplankton environmental sample
Lineage: Eukaryota
Description: partial small subunit ribosomal RNA
Rfam family: Eukaryotic small subunit ribosomal RNA
Source: RNAcentral